GGAGAGAUGUCCGAGUUUGGCCGAAGGAACACGACUGGAAAUCGUGUAGGGGGCCCAAAGCUUCCUCCUGGGUUCGAAUCCCAGUCUCUCCGCCA
Molecule: transfer RNA, 95 nt
Filed under: Candidatus Omnitrophota bacterium
Lineage: Bacteria; Pseudomonadati; Candidatus Omnitrophota
Description: Candidatus Omnitrophica bacterium (groundwater metagenome) tRNA-Ser
Rfam family: tRNA
About the family: Transfer RNA (tRNA) molecules are approximately 80 nucleotides in length. Their secondary structure includes four short double-helical elements and three loops (D, anti-codon, and T loops).
Source: RNAcentral